CCUACGGGAGGCAGCAGUGGGGGAUAUUGCACAAUGGGGGGAACCCUGAUGCAGCGACGCCGCGUGGGUGAAGGAGUGCUUCGGCAUGUAAAGCCCUAUCGGCAGGGAAGAAGCAAGACGGUACCUGACUAAGAAGCCCCGGCUAACUACGUGCCAGCAGCCGCGGUAAUACGUAGGGGGCGAGCGUUAUCCGGAUUCACUGGGUGGAAAGGGAGCGUAGACGGCCAUGCAAGCCAGGGGGGAAAGCCCGGGGCCCAACCCCGGGACUGCCCUUGGAACUGCAUGGCUGGAGUGCGGGAGGGGCAGGCGGAAUUCCUGGUGUAGCGGUGAAAUGCGUAGAUAUCAGGAGGAACACCGGCGGCGAAGGCGGCCUGCUGGACCGCGACUGACGUUGAGGCUCGAAAGCGUGGGGAGCGAACAGGAUUAGAUACCCUUGUAGUC
Molecule: ribosomal RNA, 441 nt
Filed under: uncultured bacterium
Lineage: Bacteria
Description: partial 16S ribosomal RNA
Rfam family: Bacterial small subunit ribosomal RNA
Source: RNAcentral